This 62-nucleotide ribosomal RNA is filed under the name Searsia tenuinervis. RNAcentral describes it as "5.8S ribosomal RNA". The record is from RNAcentral. Lineage: Eukaryota; Viridiplantae; Streptophyta; Magnoliopsida; Sapindales; Anacardiaceae.
CUUUGAACGCAAGUUGCGCCCCAAGCCGUUAGGCCGAGGGCACGUCUGCCUGGGUGUCACGC